ACAACUUUCGGCAACGGAUAUCUUGGCUCUUGCAUCAAUAAAAAACCCAC
RNAcentral lists this ribosomal RNA (50 nucleotides) under Equisetum variegatum. Its description in RNAcentral is "partial 5.8S ribosomal RNA". The record is from RNAcentral. Lineage: Eukaryota; Viridiplantae; Streptophyta; Polypodiopsida; Equisetales; Equisetaceae.